AAAUUUUAUAUAUAUAUUUAAAUUAAUAAAUGUAUUACAUUAUAAGUAUAAUUUUCAAUAUCCAAAUCAACUAUUAUGGUGUUAGUUGACGCACUUAAUUUGAAACAGCCGUGGAAGUAUCCAUUUAGACAAAUUAAUGAUGCGCCUUUUGAUAGUACGCCUCAAAAACUAUUAAUGUUAAAAUGAUGCACAUAGUCAAAUAUGUUGAAUACUAUCAUAAUUUAGAAAUAAAAUUGAGUUUAAUAACUAUAUCUAAUAAGGUAGCAAAUAUUUAGAUCAAUCGUUUUGUUUAUAUAAAUUUAACAUUCAUAUAUAUUUCUUGAUAUUAAUUUAGAUUUAAAAUGUUUAAGUGAUGAUUUUACUAUCAGAUGAAAAAGAUGGCUCAAAAGAUCUCGAAAAUAAUUGAUAUCAUUGAAGUUCUGAAAAUAAUAUCAUAUCCUUCAUCAGAUUUAAGUUACUACAAUUCAAACUAGAACAACAAUUUGAUCUCAAGGAUACUUUAAUUAAGCUUGGAUGUAUUACAAUGUUUAAUCGCGAUGCGAAUUUGCUGAAAUUUCUGAUUUACCUUUACAAGUUGAUAAAUUUGUUCAUUAGGCUUAUAUAAGUGUCGUUAAAAAUGGAACCGAAGUUGCAGCUGGUUCAGGUUUGAGCAGUUUAUGUCUACAUCAUGAUCUAUAAAAUGUAUUCCAAAUUACUAUAAGAAUUUUAAGAACAUGUGAAAAAUAUAUGAUCAGCUUCUUAUUUUGAAAAAACGUCAAAACGUGCUAGAUAAUUGAUAACACAAAAAAGUAGAAGUACAAUAAAUAAUUCAUUUAUAAUGGUGUAAUAAUACUAACUGGCGUAAUAGUAACUAAUUAGUAUUAUUAAUUAAAAUAUACUAAUAUCUAACUUUACUAUAUACUUGCCAUAAAAAUUUAAAUGUUAAAAUUACCUUUGGCUAAUUGAUUAAUUUAUCAAAAA
Molecule: long non-coding RNA, 960 nt
Organism: Daktulosphaira vitifoliae (grape phylloxera)
Lineage: Eukaryota; Metazoa; Arthropoda; Insecta; Hemiptera; Phylloxeridae
Exons: 3
Source: RefSeq, a predicted model, not a curated record